RNAcentral lists this unclassified non-coding RNA (1319 nucleotides) under Daphnia magna. RNAcentral's name for it is "uncharacterized LOC116936402, transcript variant X1". The record is from RNAcentral. Lineage: Eukaryota; Metazoa; Arthropoda; Branchiopoda; Diplostraca; Daphniidae.
ACUCUAGAUGGCGUGGAUGUGCGGCUAUAAUGGAGAUUUUGAGUGACAAGUUAAACGUAAGUUUGUUACGUUAUCCUGUUAUGUGUUUCAAAGGAUUUUUCAUCAAAAAAUUUACGAUUGCUUUUUGUAUGUGGUGGUGUUUCGCCUUGUCAGCUAUGCCAGCUGCUGAACCAGCAGCCUGCAUUCCUGCUAUCAAUGUACAAUAAGGGAUCCUGGCACUUUAAGAAGGCCACUAUUCCUUAGAUAAAGAUCACCAUCCAGUUCAAUCAACGACAGAGUCUUCAUCUACUUUGUGUUGCUAACCAUCAGCCUUCAGCAUCCCAGGUCUCCAGAUUUCCAAGUUUCUCUGAUUAGCAAAAUACCCGUCAGCUCUUCAUUGUGGCUUCUCUUCCUCUCUUCUUAGUCUGCUGAAUGCCAACAUUGAAUAAGGUUCAUCAUCAUUGCCUUUCCAUGUUCUUCUCACCGUUACUUAGCCAGCUCACAUGGAUAGGCUUUAAUAACAUCUCCAUUUUUUGGACUGCAAAUAUUCAUGUUCGUUCGGUACAACACUGCCGUUUUGACAAUUUCGGUAGUUUCGCCCCCAGUGGACCACACGCAACUACAUUUUCUUCGUCUUCCUGCCGUUGUUGUCAACGACUUCACCUCAUCGCUAUCUUCGUUGACAUCUUCGCCUUCAUCUCUGUCUCGUCGUCUUGGUCGUCUUCAUCUUCGUCUCGUCGUUUUGGUCGUCUUCGCCUUCAUCUCUGUCUCGUCGUCUUGGUCGUCUUCCCCUUCAUCUCCGUCUCGUCGUUUUGGUCGUCUUCGCCUUCAUCUCCGUCUCUCCGUCUCGUCGUCUUCGCUGUCUUUGUUUACGCCAUUACCUCGUCGCUGGCUUCUCCUUCGCCUUUCCCGUAGGGAAUUCAUCGUGGAUCGUCGCUCUGGUACUGUUUUAUUUUGCAUUGUUAUGUUUAAGUUAACCCGUUGGCUGCCACCCCGUUUGCGUCCCAUUUUUUUGUAGCUUGUAGGGACCGGCCGCAAUGGCCUUCGCCGCAAGGCGCUUUAGGCAAUGCACCAGUAGGGACUUCUCUUUGUCGAUGCGGUGGCGGAUUCCUGAGGGUGUGCAUUCCCUGUAAUGGAUUCCGUCGCCGUGUCAACCCGGACUUGUCUUCGGACAAGUCCCACCUUGUUCGCGAUCCUUAAGACGCGAUGCGUAGCUACUGUAGUUUAAGCAACCUACGGGUUGCGUGGCCUGGCAGCCAACGGGUUAACUUAUAGUUAAGUGUAUGUAUGUUUGUGUAAAUAUAUUUGUGUAUGUAUUGUUAUGUAAAAUAGUGGUGGAA